RNAcentral lists this ribosomal RNA (425 nucleotides) under Megaselia differens. Its description in RNAcentral is "partial 16S ribosomal RNA". Lineage: Eukaryota; Metazoa; Arthropoda; Insecta; Diptera; Phoridae. The record is from RNAcentral.
UUUUAGAAUUUAAUUUAAAGUCUAACCUGCCCACUGAAUAUUUUAAAUGGCCGCAGUAUUCUAACUGUGCAAAGGUAGCAUAAUCAUUAGUCUUUUAAUUGAAGGCUGGAAUGAAUGGUUGAAUGAAAUAUUAACUGUUUCAUAAAAAUUAUAAAUAAAACUUUAUUUUUUAGUUAAAAAGCUAAAAUAUUUUUAAAAGACGAGAAGACCCUAUAAAUCUUUAUAUUUAAAUAAUUUUAAUUAUUUAGAUAAGUUAAAUUAUUAUUAUUUUAAAUAUUUUAUUGGGGUGAUAUUAAAAUUUAAUAAACUUUUAAUUUAUAACAAACAUAAAUUAAUGACUUAUUGAUCCAUUUAUUAUGAUUAAAAAAUUAAGUUACUUUAGGGAUAACAGCGUAAUUUUUUUAGAGAGUUCAUAUUGAUAAAAA